RNAcentral lists this ribosomal RNA (565 nucleotides) under uncultured Glomeromycotina. Its description in RNAcentral is "SSU rRNA". It matches the Rfam family "Eukaryotic small subunit ribosomal RNA", at positions 548 to 1114 of the family's 1831-position model. The record is from RNAcentral. Lineage: Eukaryota; Fungi; Glomeromycota.
UUGGAGGGCAAGUCUGGUGCCAGCAGCCGCGGUAAUUCCAGCUCCAAUAGCGUAUAUUAAAGUUGUUGCAGUUAAAAAGCUCGUAGUUGAAUUUUAGGCCUGGCCGGGCGGUCCGUCUUUGGCGAGUACUGUCCUGUGUCGGGUCCACCUUCUGGUGAACCAGUAUGUCCUUUAUUGGGUGUGCCGGGGAGCCAGGACCAUUACCUUGAAAAAAUUAGAGUGUUUAAAGCAGGCAUUUGCUUGAAUAGAUUAGCAUGGAAUAAUAGAAUAGGACGUUGUGGUUCUAUUUUGUUGGUUUCUAGGACCACCGUAAUGAUUAAUAGGGAUAGUUGGGGGCAUUAGUAUUCAAUUGUCAGGGGUGAAAUUCUUGGAUUUAUUGAAGACUAACUAUUGCGAAAGCAUUUGCCAAGGAUGUUUUCAUUAAUCAAGAACGAAAGUUAGGGGAUCGAAGACGAUCAGAUACCGUCGUAGUCUUAACCAUAAACUAUGCCGACUAGGGAUCGGACGAAGUUAAUUUUAUAAUGACGCGUUCGGCACCUUACGGGAAACCAAAGUGUUUGGGUUC